This 447-nucleotide ribosomal RNA is filed under the name uncultured bacterium. RNAcentral describes it as "partial 16S ribosomal RNA". It matches the Rfam family "Bacterial small subunit ribosomal RNA", at positions 29 to 523 of the family's 1533-position model. The record is from RNAcentral.
AACGAACGCUGGCGGCAGGCUUAACACAUGCAAGGCGAACGCCCCGCAAGGGGAGUGGCAGACGGGUGAGUAACGCGUGGGAAUCUACCCAUCUCUGCGGAAUAGCUCCGGGAAACUGGAAUUAAUACCGCAUACGCCCUACGGGGGUAAGAUUUAUCGGGGAUGGAUGAGCCCGCGUUGGAUUAGCUAGUUGGUGGGGUAAAGGCCUACCAAGGCGACGAUCCAUAGCUGGUCUGAGAGGAUGAUCAGCCACAUUGGGACUGAGACACGGCCCAAACUCCUACGGGAGGCAGCAGUGGGGAAUAUUGGACAAUGGGCGCAAGCCUGAUCCAGCCAUGCCGCGUGAGUGAUGAAGGUCUUAGGAUUGUAAAGCUCUUUCACCGGUGAAGAUAAUGACGGUAACCGGAGAAGAAGCCCCGGCUAACUUCGUGCCAGCCGCCGCCGUAA